GUGCCAGCAGCCGCGGUAAUACAGAGGGUGCGAGCGUUAAUCGGAUUUACUGGGCGUAAAGCGUGCGUAGGCGGCUAAUUAAGUCAAAUGUGAAAUCCCCGAGCUUAACUUGGGAAUUGCAUUCGAUACUGGUUAGCUAGAGUAUGGGAGAGGAUGGUAGAAUUCCAGGUGUAGCGGUGAAAUGCGUAGAGAUCUGGAGGAAUACCGAUGGCGAAGGCAGCCAUCUGGCCUAAUACUGACGCUGAGGUACGAAAGCAUGGGGAGCAAACAGGAUUAGAUACCCUGGUAGUCCAUGCCGUAAACGAUGUCUACUAGCCGUUGGGGCCUUUGAGGCUUUAGUGGCGCAGCUAACGCGAUAAGUAGACCGCCUGGGGAGUACGGUCGCAAGACUAAAACUCAAAUGAAUUGACGGGGGCCCGCACAAGCGGUGGGGCAUGUGGUUUAAUUCGAUGCAACGCGAAGAACCUUACCUGGCCUUGACAUANUAGAAACCUUCCAGAGAUGGAUUGGUGCCUUCGGGAAUCUACAUACAGGUGCUGCAUGGCUGUCGUCAGCUCGUGUCGUGAGAUGUUGGGUUAAGUCCCGCAACGAGCGCAACCCUUUUCCUUACUUGCCAUCGGGUAAUGCCGGGAACUUUAAGGAUACUGCCAGUGACAAACUGGAGGAAGGCGGGGACGACGUCAAGUCAUCAUGGCCCUUACGGCCAGGGCUACACACGUGCUACAAUGGUCGGUACAAAGGGUUGCUACAUAGCGAUAUGAUGCUAAUCUCAAAAAGCCGAUCGUAGUUCGGAUGGGAGCCGGCAACUCGACUCCAUGAAGUCGGAAUCGCUAGUAAUCGCGGAUCAAAAUGCCUCGGUGAAUACGUUCCCGGGCCCUGGACACACCGCCCCU
Molecule: ribosomal RNA, 893 nt
Filed under: uncultured bacterium
Lineage: Bacteria
Description: bacterial SSU rRNA
Rfam family: Bacterial small subunit ribosomal RNA
Source: RNAcentral